GAUGAACGCUGGCGGUAUGCCUAACACAUGCAAGUCGUACGAGAGUUUUUUAACUCUAGUGGCGACGGGUGAGUAACACGUGAGAAUUUGCCUUUAGGAGGGGGAUAACAAUUGGAAACGAAUGCUAAUACCCCAUAUGCUUUCGAGUGAAAUGGAUUUUAUCCGCCUAGAGAGAAGCUCGCGGCUGAUUAGCUUGUUGGUAAGGUAAGAGCUUACCAAGGCGACGAUCAGUAUCUGGUUUGAGAGGACGAUCAGACACACUGGAACUGAGACACGGUCCAGACUCCUACGGGAGGCAGCAGUGGGGAAUUUUCCGCAAUGGGCGAAAGCCUGACGGAGCAAUACCGCGUGAGGGAAGAAUGCCUAUGGGUUGUAAACCUCUUUUUCAGGGAGGAAUAAAAUGACGUGUACCUGAAGAAUAAGCAUCGGCUAACUCCGUG
RNAcentral lists this ribosomal RNA (440 nucleotides) under uncultured bacterium. Its description in RNAcentral is "bacterial SSU rRNA". It matches the Rfam family "Bacterial small subunit ribosomal RNA", at positions 28 to 507 of the family's 1533-position model. The record is from RNAcentral.